Molecule: ribosomal RNA, 490 nt
Filed under: uncultured bacterium
Lineage: Bacteria
Description: partial 16S ribosomal RNA
Rfam family: Bacterial small subunit ribosomal RNA
Source: RNAcentral
GAUGAACGCUAGCGAUAGGCUUAACACAUGCAAGUCGAGGGGCAGCAUGGUCUUAGCUUGCUAAGACUGAUGGAGAGCGGCGCACGGGGGCGUAACGCGUAUGCAACUUGCCUGACAGAGGGGGAUAACCCGGCGAAAGACGGAGGAAUACCGCGUACACUGCAUCUUGUGCAUCCAAGGUAGAGGAAGUGAAAUUUGCUGUGAGAUAGGCAUGAGUCGCAUUAGCUAGGUGGUGAGGUAACGGCUCACCAAGGCGACGAUAGGUAGGCGAAGUGAGAGGUCGAUCCCCCGCCUUGGAACUGGGACACGCACAAGACUACUACGGGAGGCAGCAGUGAGGAAUAUUGGUCAAUGGUCGGGAGCCUGAACCAGCCAAGUCGCGUGAAGGACGACUGUCUUACGGAUGGUAAACUUCUUUUAUACGUGAAUAACAAGAGUCACGUGUGACUCCCUGCAUGUACCGUAUGAAUAAGCAUCGGCUAACUCCGUG